GCCAGUGUGCUGUAGUGGUUUGGGCACUGGACUAUGGCUUUGGAGGCCAGGGUUCAAAUCCCUGCUUGGCCA
Molecule: non-coding RNA, 72 nt
Organism: Phrynosoma platyrhinos (Desert horned lizard)
Lineage: Eukaryota; Metazoa; Chordata; Lepidosauria; Squamata; Phrynosomatidae
Source: the annotation of a GenBank genome assembly